Thunnus maccoyii (southern bluefin tuna) is the source of this 349-nucleotide long non-coding RNA. RefSeq lists it as uncharacterized. Lineage: Eukaryota; Metazoa; Chordata; Actinopteri; Scombriformes; Scombridae. The record is from RefSeq and is a predicted model, not a curated record. The transcript is spliced from 3 exons.
CUUUGAGCACUGAAAAUCAACUCCUGCAGCAACUGAUGAAGCUGUUUAUUCUGAAGUUAAACCAGGAACAUCUCUUGGUCAGUAAAGACAGCUGUAUGGACAAGGCCAAAUAAAUAUGGUUAACAACAUUUUAUAUAACCAUUGUGUGCAACUCUGCUAUCCAAAUAUCAGCGAUGCUCAAUGUUUUGUACAGUUAAUGUAAUAGCAGAUGAUAUAAAAUACUUACAUCAUGUGGAUUUAAUACUCUCUUUUUUAGCAGAAAGUACAAGACUACUGAGGUUUAUUCCCAUUUAGUAUUUAUACACUGUAGUAUUAUUAUUUUUAUUUUUACAGUUAUUUUGUCACUUUA